GACGAACGCUGGCGGCGUGCCUAAUACAUGCAAGUCGAGCGGAAUGAUGAAGAAGCUUGCUUCUUCUGAUUUUAGCGGCGGACGGGUGAGUAACACGUGGGCAACCUACCUUGUAGAUUGGGAUAACCUCGGGAAACCGUGGCUAAUACCGGAUGAGUUUCUUCCUCUCAUGGGGAAGAAAGAAAGGGGAAACCCGCUUUGGGAUGAAUCCGCGUCCUAUUAGCUAGUCGGUGAGGUAACGGCUCACCGAGGCAACGAUGGGUAGCCGGCCUGAGAGGGUGUACGGCCACACUGGGACUGAGACACGGCCCAGACUCCUACGGGAGGCAGCAGUGGGGAAUCUUGGACAAUGGGCGCAAGCCUGAUCCAGCCAUGCCGCGUGAGUGAUGAAGGCCUUAGGGUCGUAAAGCUCUUUCGCCAGAGAUGAUAAUGACAGUAUCUGGUAAAGAAGUCCCGGCUAACUCCGUG
Molecule: ribosomal RNA, 468 nt
Filed under: uncultured bacterium
Lineage: Bacteria
Description: bacterial SSU rRNA
Rfam family: Bacterial small subunit ribosomal RNA
Source: RNAcentral